GCAACUGGUCCUCUGACUUAACUAAUUAUUUAAUUUGGAAGUUAUAGGUUUUUUAUUACUUGAGGAGCAGCUUUCUCUGAACAAAUACAGUGUCCCCUGGGGUGUCCAAAUUGUGACAGAAAAGUAGCGCCAGCUUGAAACUAGCUAGUCAUCACAUAGUGGCAUCAUGUGAAUGAAGAAUCCCCCAAAUCUGUGACCCUCUUCUAUCCUUAUGAACUAAUUCAAUAAAUAAAUGAGCACUUUCUCAGUUCCCAAACUGAGAGCAGUUUAAAAAAAUAAUGAGAGCACAGAUAUCUAUUUAGAGAGAUGGCGAGAUAGAGGAGAGAGCAAGUUGCACACCACGAAACAAAGGGAAAGAUAAGAAGAGAGAGUGUGUCACUACUUCCCCGUGGCAGAAUCACAAUCUUUUUUGGAUGUCAUGUUGAAAAGAUUCCCAAUUCGUAGUUCUGUGAGCUAAAGCAGAUGGAUGCUCCAUGUUGGUACAAAUUCCUAUUUGAAGCAGUGUGGUUGCAAAGAUGGG
Molecule: long non-coding RNA, 520 nt
Filed under: Homo sapiens (human)
Lineage: Eukaryota; Metazoa; Chordata; Mammalia; Primates; Hominidae
Description: long non-coding RNA NONHSAT197164
Source: RNAcentral